RNAcentral lists this unclassified non-coding RNA (475 nucleotides) under Cleistochloa uncinulata. RNAcentral describes it as "Ancistrachne uncinulata partial miscellaneous RNA". The record is from RNAcentral. Lineage: Eukaryota; Viridiplantae; Streptophyta; Magnoliopsida; Poales; Poaceae.
AGACCUAGCUGCUCUUGAAGUUCCAUCUCUUAAUGGAUAAGGUUUUUCUACUAACAUAUAGGAAUUUUUGAAGGAAGGAAAGCCGGAAAUACCCAAUAUCCUGUUGGAACAGGAUAUUGGGUAUUUCUUUGUUUAUUCUGAAUCUUUCUAUUCUGAAUUCAGUUAACGACGAGAUUUAGUAUCCUUUCUUGCACUUUCAUAACUCGUGAAAUGCCGAGUAGGCACGAAUUCCCCCAAUUUGCGACCUACCAYAGGAUUUGUUAUGUAAAUAGGUAUAUGUUCCUUUCCAUUAUGAAUCGCGAUUGUAUGGCCAACCAUUGCGGGUAGAAUGCUAGAUGCCCGGGACCACGUUACUAUUAUUUCUUUCUCCUCCUUCAUAUUGACCUUUUCUAUUUUUGCCAAUAAAUGACGAGCUACAAAAGGAUUCGUUUUUUUUCGUGUCACAGCUGAUUACUCCUUUUUUUUUCAUUUUAAA